Molecule: long non-coding RNA, 2954 nt
Filed under: Hordeum vulgare
Lineage: Eukaryota; Viridiplantae; Streptophyta; Magnoliopsida; Poales; Poaceae
Description: long non-coding RNA (HVUL_LNC010098)
Source: RNAcentral
ACUACUUGGCAUAGAACAAAUCAGCUCUUUAUUACAAAUGACAGAAAUACAAGGUUCCGAUAUCACAAUGAAUUACAUCGGCAUGGCAACACUAUGCCUUCUUAGGUAGCUCUAUGCUUAUAGAAAAACAAAUCAAAGCAACGGAAUAACUUCUAGCAAGGGAACAACGACGACACUGGUGAAAUCAACUCUACAAGGACUCUGGCUGGAAUGCUUAUCCUUGAUCACCAACUCGUCAGGCAAUCAAUCAUGGCAUGACCUGCAAACUGGCAUGACACACGAGGUGAGUACUUUGAAUCUACUCACGAGCUCACAACGACCAACGCAAUCAAGACCAACAACAAUAUGGCAUUUACAAGUUGAAGAUUAAUGACGAGCAUGAUACACCUAGAGCAACACGGCAUAUACAUGGUGAAAAAAAAUACCGCUAGAACAACAUCUGAUGAGCAUGGCAUGAACAUGUUACUCAAGCCAUGAACAAAGAUGAUACUAGCAUGCACCAUGGUUAAACUUAUAUAUCAACUUACUCUGAUCGGGGUUAUCUCGUAACCACCACAUGUAUCCAAAAUAUUAACUAACCUCGGUAUCCAUGAUACUACUUUAAUCUUCUGAUGAUCAAAUAAAGAUCAACCAACUUCUUUCUCAUCAAACAAGGGUUGUUUAUUAAGUAUAUUAUUAUUAUUGUUAACUCAUAGUGUGACCUACUACAAACUGGGCCCAUAUCCGUGGGUGUGGCUAUUGAUAGAUUAUACAUACUCUGUAGAGGUUGGUACACUGUACCUACACCACAAAACCCAAGGCCUCACGCACCUAUUUGGGUGGACUAGCGGCAUUCCGAGAGAACCAAUAUAUUGCAUGACACUCCCCCGGCCACUUCGACAAACUCCCAUUUGGGCUAAGUCAUGGGUGGCUCCGAUGCCACUCUAGACAUCCAAUGGCCAUCAUCGUGGCAAAACAGAAAUGGUACCAAACGGGUACAAUGGUACCAUAGAAAAACAACGGGCCUUGGACGCCUACCUCAUCAGGGUAGCGCGCACAUAACCUUCCCUAGUUGGAGGAACCAAUGAGAGGCAUGCCAAUCGACUGCAUUAAGGCCUUCCCAUACAGGCAAGUGUGGAUGCACUGGUCAGCUCGACUCGAUGGCACUAUGACUCAGCCAACAUUUGUUCAUGUUCAGUUAAUAUCCGGUUGAACUUGUAAAGUAAUGAGCUAAGUCAUAAUAAAAAUAACAGGAUGAAUAGACAAUUCAUAUGAGCAUGACAUAAGAAUGAACAUGUAUGUGAAGUAUAACAAUUUCACAUGUGAAGCAUUAGCAUCGACAAUAAUAACGAACUUAGUCUAGUGGAUGCACAUGAACAUGAUAGAGUAAUGAUCAUGCAGAUCACAAGUGCUUUUCAUAACUGGCGAUAUUCGUGCAUCGAAGGAACACUACUAUCACGAGCAUGUAAUAAGAACAAGCAUGAGAUAUGAUAAUAAUACUACCAAGUAGCCACGGAACUAACAGGGUGCACAAGCACAAAGCAUGAAGAUGAUCGAUUCCACAAGCAUACAGAAAUACUAGUAGAGCAAACAGUUGUUAAAUAUUGAAGUAGAAAACAAUGGUUACUACAAGAUCACAAUACAAGUGGAUGCCGUGGCUUGCCCGGGGAUAAAGGAUUCACCGGAAGGAAGUGCAAGGAACUCGCGGAACGAUUCGCAAGAAAAUUAUCUCUCGCAAAGGGGGCUUAACAAGGGCAAGGGAAAAAUUGUCAUUUUUAGUAUGUGACAAUAUAGUGAAAAUAGUACCAAAGGAACGAACUUGAUGAGACGAAAAUGUGGGCUUUGGAAUUACCUCAAUCGGAGUUACUAUUAAAAAGAUAUGGUGGUUUGUUUGUUAGGAGAAAAACAAAUAAAAAAUUGUGUUUUUUUGUUGCUAACGGGUGAACACCCACUAUUUAACCACUUCGGCCAACGGACCUGGGUUGAAAACGCCUUUCUUGAAAUACACUUUAAGUUAGAGAAAACACACUCGCGUUCGAGGCUGAAGCAAGAAAAAGCCUUGACCACGGAAAUACGCGCUCGUGCAAAAAUGCCUUCACUUACGGCAACGGGCCAGUCCGGUAAGCGGACCUGCGGCUGGCGCGCGGGCCUUCUCACUUCUCUCUCCUUCGAUUGUCUUCUUCCGCUCGCUGGGGUCAAAGGGGCUCGGGCACCGGCGCACCUGUCACCUUACUACUCCAAAGGGCCGCCAACGUGCGUGGCGGCACCGCAGCUCCUCUCCACGACUGAUGGUAGCCAAGGGAGCGACUCCGGCGACCUACAGUGUCGUAGCCACUAAGGGGGCCGAGGUGGACGGAGGUCUCCUGGCGAGCGGCGCUGGCAGGGCCUCCUUGGAGGAAUGGAGGGCGAUGGUAGCUCUGCGGGGUCCAGGGGGUCUCCGCACACGUAGAAGAAACGAGGGGGAGGGCUACUGGGAGGAUUUGACCACGUUGAUCGAUGGCGGACGGCUUGGCUAUUGGGGAAAAGGGGCGCUCCAGGAGCUUGGGGAACGGCUGCAGAGUGGUGGGAGAGCUAUGGCACGCUAUAAAUAGCGCCAGGUAGAGCUCGGGAAGGCUCUGGCGGACCUUGGGCAAUUAUCCAUGGAGUAGGCAGGGCGGCCAGGUCACGGGCGCGGCUAGAGCAUCGCGUAGGAUGUGACCUGAGAGGGGGAGAGGGUUCCAGCGCAAGGCGAGACCAAGACGGAGCUGCUAGACAUGAUUAGGUGUCGAUGGCUCGAAAAAACAGACGAUGGGGAGGGGCCAACUGCCAGAGCACGGACAAGGGCAUGUCGGACACCUAGUCACCGCACGAACGCGGCGGUGACACGCGCUAUGAUCAGCCAAACCUUUUCUAGGCGAUUGGUCAUUCACGAGUGAGUGUCAAAGUACAAAUGAACAAGCACAUGGACUCAAGAUGUGACCACAGCUUGCUAGAAG